This is a non-coding RNA of Acanthosepion pharaonis, 114 nucleotides long. The record is from the annotation of a GenBank genome assembly. Lineage: Eukaryota; Metazoa; Mollusca; Cephalopoda; Sepiida; Sepiidae.
UUAUGGCCAUAUCACAUUGAAACACCGGUCCCUAAACAAUCACCAAAGUUAAGCAAUGUUGAGCCUGGUCAGUAUCUAGAUGGGUGACCACUUGGGAAUAACUGGUGCUGUAAG